GGAAAGAGGAAAAAAAACACUAGUGCGCUGGGUCUCCAGGGGAGCGCAAGUCCACUGGUAGGCAGCAUGCCGACUGCGUUCGGGUCAAUCAGGCCUGCUGAGCAGGAAGUGCUGCACAUCUCAGAGGCCUCCUGUUCCUGUGGUAUCAGCACAGGUGGAGAGUACCCAGGGCCACCCCAGUGACGGAGAAGACUGCCAUCAGUUCCUCCAGGAUUAUCUCCUCCACCUGCAUCACAAACCAGCAGACUGGUGACCCAUCUGGUGUACCCCAACCCUCAUCCCACAGCCCUGAAUUGGAUAAGAGGAAGAAAACGGAUGGAUCGAAAAAAUAAAAUCAGACCCUGACUAAAAC
Molecule: long non-coding RNA, 352 nt
Organism: Oreochromis aureus
Lineage: Eukaryota; Metazoa; Chordata; Actinopteri; Cichliformes; Cichlidae
Exons: 3
Source: RefSeq, a predicted model, not a curated record